This 434-nucleotide ribosomal RNA is filed under the name uncultured Clostridium sp. Its description in RNAcentral is "partial 16S ribosomal RNA". It matches the Rfam family "Bacterial small subunit ribosomal RNA", at positions 341 to 792 of the family's 1533-position model. RNAcentral also lists the same sequence under 1 other name. Lineage: Bacteria; Bacillati; Bacillota; Clostridia; Eubacteriales; Clostridiaceae. The record is from RNAcentral.
ACGGAAGGCAGCAGUGAGGGAUAUUGCACAAUGGGCGAAAGCCUGAUGCAGCAACGCCGCGUGAGGGAUGACGGUUUUCGGAUUGUAAACCUCUGUCUUUGGUGAUGAUAAUGACAUUAGCCAAGGAGGAAGCCACGGCUAACUACGUGCCAGCAGCCGCGGUAAUACGUAGGUGGCAAGCGUUGUCCGGAUUUACUGGGUGUAAAGGGAGCGCAGGCGGGAAAGCAAGUCAGCGGUGAAAUGCAUAGGCUUAACCUAUGAACUGCCGUUGAAACUGUUUUUCUUGAGUGAAGUAGAGGCAAGCGGAAUUCCGAGUGUAGCGGUGAAAUGCGUAGAUAUUCGGAGGAACACCAGUGGCGAAGGCGGCUUGCUGGGCUUUAACUGACGCUGAGGCUCGAAAGUGUGGGGAGCAAACAGGAUUAGAUACCCUGGUA